GUUUUGGUUGAACUUGUGAGAGUAUGCUGUUGAUAUCAUGCGGUGUGUAUAUGGUCACCGGAUUAUCUAAAACAAUAUCAGUGGCAGUAACAGUAGGCAUUUUCUGCCGCAUGGGUUAAUUUAAAUGGUUUGUUUUCGUUGGCGAGAUACUCAUACAGGGGCUGCAUGUAGAUUGCUGUGGAAGCCAAGGUCGGCAGUAUGAAUCGUAGCUGGGCUAGGCUGAG
This is a non-coding RNA of Pelobates cultripes (western spadefoot toad), 224 nucleotides long. The record is from the annotation of a GenBank genome assembly. NCBI's taxonomy places the organism in Eukaryota, Metazoa, Chordata, Amphibia, Anura, Pelobatidae.